RNAcentral lists this unclassified non-coding RNA (759 nucleotides) under Hevea brasiliensis (rubber tree). The record is from RNAcentral. Lineage: Eukaryota; Viridiplantae; Streptophyta; Magnoliopsida; Malpighiales; Euphorbiaceae.
AUUACCAGUGUCUUCAAUACAUCCCAACUUAACAAAUUUUCCGAAGUUCUCCCAGAAUUUUUUGUAAUCCUCCUUGUUCUCACUCUCAGAGAGAUCCUGAAUCAUGUCGAAUGUUUUUCUCACUAGUCUCUUUCUCAUUAUCCGAACAAUUCGGCUCUCCUGCAGGAUUUCUCGUGAAACAUUAAGAGGAAGGUCAUUUGAGUCCACCACUCCUUUAACAAAGCUCAGGUACCUCGGAAACAACUCCCCAUCAAAAUCAUCAGAAAUAAAGACACGUUUCACAUACAAACGUAUGUUCUUUGUCUUGGGAUUUACGACAUCUUCAUUGUUAAGAGGAGCCAUUCCAGGUAUAUACAAGACACUUCUAAACUCCACCUCACCCUCUGUAGUGAAGUGAGUGUGGGCAAGUGGAUCCAAGAACUCAUUAAAAGUUCUCUUGUAGAAUUCUUGAUACUGUUCUUUCUCAACUUCUUUUGGAUUCCGCAUCCAGAUAGGUUUUGUCUCAUUUGUCAACUCCCAAUCAAAGUACUUCUCAGUUUUGGUCUUCUUUGUCAUUUUCUUCUCUUCCUCUGUUUUUUCUUCUCCUUCCUUUGGUUCUUCUUCUUCCUCUACCUCAAUUGUUCUUGAUUUCUCCUGCCACGUGUAAAUUGGAAAAGAUACAAACUGUGAAUAAUUCUUCACCAAAUCUUGGAUCUUCUUCGGCUCACAAUACUCGUAUUUGUCAUCAUCCCUCAAAUAAAGUGUAAUUUGUGUUCCUCG